Long non-coding RNA from Bombyx mori (domestic silkworm), 840 nucleotides. RefSeq lists it as uncharacterized. The transcript has 2 exons. The record is from RefSeq and is a predicted model, not a curated record. NCBI's taxonomy places the organism in Eukaryota, Metazoa, Arthropoda, Insecta, Lepidoptera, Bombycidae.
CUGUAAGUGUGGCCACACCUUAACUCCGUCACGACAGAAAAUGGCCCCACCUGUUACAAUACUGGGGAAUUCAUUUAAAUUCCGCCACCUGAGGCCGAAGGCGCUUAUUUAGACUGCUACAGACUUGAACAUUUAUCAUGAAGUUCACUUUGUGUUCCUUCUGGGUACUGAUUUGUUUUUUGGCAACUAUAUCAGCGGAUCCAUCUGUAAUCGUCGACGUGGAGCCUGGUAACUUCAGCCUCAACCUUAGCUUCUCGCAGAAAUCGUCUUCUGAUGGUCAAAUCUCACAGAUAUUUGUUUCCCUAGACGAACCUUAAUACGCUUCUUGGUAGACCAUGUUGACUGCUAAAAACUUUUAGUUUAAAAUCACUACCCACUAUGUUUAAUGAUAAAUUAUGUUUAAUAAUAAAUCACUGGUGGUAGGACCUCUUGUGAGUCCGCGCGGGUGGGUACCACCACCCUGCCUAUUUCUGCCGUGAAGCAGUAAUGCGUUUCGGUUUGAUGGGUGGGGCAGCCGCUGUAACUAAACUUGAGACCUUAGAACUUAUAUCUCAAGGUGGGCGGCACAUUUACGUUGUGGAUGUCCAUGGGCUCCGGUAACCACUUAGCUCCAGGUGGGAUGUGAGCUCGUCCACCCAUCUAAGCAAAAAAAAAUCUAGUUAUAUUUUUAUAUUUAGUUUUAGGAGAAAAUAAUAUAAUAAUGUUUAUUCACCGUGUGGAACAUAACUAACUUUUUUAUACGUAAUUAAUGAAAGUUCCGUAUAUAUAACCAUGUAGCGUAGUGACCGUCUAGAUCUAAUUUGUACAUAUUUUUAUAAUAAUAAACGUAAUUUAUAGCAA